Molecule: long non-coding RNA, 8499 nt
Filed under: Zea mays
Lineage: Eukaryota; Viridiplantae; Streptophyta; Magnoliopsida; Poales; Poaceae
Description: long non-coding RNA (ZMAY_LNC005108)
Source: RNAcentral
UUGGUAUUAUUUCUAGCAAAUUACAAAGUGGGUGUUACAAAUCCUACCCCCCUUAAUAGAAAUCUCGUCCUCGAGAUUUGUAAGAAAAGGGAUACGAUAAGUUUGUAAUUCAACUUUUAGUCUUUAAUUGUUUCAAAAGUCCAUAGUCUCAUUUGUUUUAUAUACUCAAUAGUGGGUGAUGAGGAGGGCAUAGGUAUCCAGCUACUUAUUAGGUAGGAUAUAAGAGAUGUAUAGUUUAGGGCAAGAAUAGCCAGGGGUAAGAAAGUUUAUGGUAAGGAAGAACUUCGUGUUGGAUGGUAAUGCAUCCGAAGAUUGAAAUUGACUUCUCUCCUUCCUUGACGCGGUUGAUCUUGUCCUUUUCUGGUCUUGGUCUCAUUGAGUGUAUAUCAUCGUAGUUGUGGAAUAUGGUUAAGAUAGAUAUGGAUGAGAUAGAAUAUAUGAUGUAGGUCAAAAGUUUGUUUGAAGUUAGGUGGGGAUAGAAAGGUUAUGCAAUCCAUCAUGACUCUAUUGGUUGGGUUAGCUCUUAUGCUCAUGGUUGAGUUGGUCUAAUAUGUGAAGUUAGGUUAAUACCUGGAUAGUAGGGUCUAAUCUCUUCUAUCAGUAUUAUUAAUUUGUUUAAGUAGACCACAUUAGAUUAGAUCGUACUAGAUUAGAUAGGAUCUAGAUUAGAUCGGAUAUGAGUAGAUAGUAUUAAUUACUUUGGAUUAGAUCAUGGUCGUUACACUAGUGUGGAAUAAUUAUGCUUACUAGGGCAAGAUGAAUCCAUAAGGAUAGGGUAGAAUCCUUUGAGGUCAGUUAGAUCUACUAAGGCGACAUAAGAUCUUUUCAAGAUAAGAUGAGUAUCUUUUUUUUGAUAAGAUGGAUCUAUGAGUGUAGGAUAGAAUCUUUCAAAAUGAGAUGGAUAUUGUUAGGCUAGAUACUUUAAUGAGGGAUAAUUUAGUUUAUCUAGUUAAUUUUAUAAGCAUUUUUUUCUAUAUGUAUAUGCAGAUGUAAUUGUGGACAUUACUCCACAACUCAUCACACUCAAUCAAAGAUCCAAAUCAUACAAGUAUCAUAAGAACAAACAUUCAAAUUCAUAGAUAUCUAUAAAAAUAUUUUUGUUUUUGUUCCUAAGAUUAGGUCUCCUAUUCCUAAAAGUCACUUUUAGGCACAGGAUUUCAAAGUGUGAAAUCCACAUUUGUCUUUAGAAAAGAAAAGGUAAGAAUAAUCAGAGUAAGCGGAAAUAGAUGAGAAAGAUUAAGAGAAGUUUAGAAAAGAAUCAGAGUAGAAGAGGUAAGUAAGUAUUGGUUGUCCAGUUCUAUCUAGGUUUCGUCCUACAGUCAACAUUCCUCUGAUACCACUUCUGUCACACCCGGGUUUUAGGGAUCCAAAGCCCGGGCGCGAACAUAAACACCAGGUGUGCUGGGACCAAGUCUCACACAUAUGAUGCAUAGUGGCACAGGAUCGAAUGUCACAUCUUUACUAUAUAACAGGAGUUCUAUACAAAAUAAUUAAAUAAUUACAUCAUAUGAGGAAACGAUCCAGCAACCCAAAGUUGACUGGGAGACGACGGCCUAGACCACUCACGAACUCAUCACAGUAUCCUCCACGCGCCUCCUCCUGUGGUACCUGCUCUUGACCUGUGGGGGGUGUGAGACAGCAAGAGUGAGCUCACAUACGUUCAUCGCUCAACAAGUUGUGGGGAAUAAUGUGCAUGAACUCGCCCAAGGUGGGAGCUCACGUGAAGUGUAAGGCUUACCAAAGAGGAUGGUUAGAGCUGAGCAUUGCUUUUAAAGUUGGUCAAAAUUUUAUUAGCAAUUACUAAGUAUAAGUAAAUACCGACCCAAUUAAAUAGUAGAACAGAAGUAACAACCUCACCUGCGAUGCAAUGCAUAUGACAAAUUGAGUUUAAGUUCCAUAGAUUAAUCAUGUGAGUGUCCGAGCCGCUCAUGACCGUGAGCACGGCUAGUAUACCAGUUUUACACUCUGCAGAGGUUGCGCAUCUUUACCCACAAGUCAUGUUACCCAUCUGCCAAGGGAUCGCGACUUCCCAUACACCUCUACCGAGGAGGCGAGGCAGGUAACACUACGAGGCCUUUACAAAGUUCCACUAGCUUCAGAAAACCCGCUACAGUUUAUAGGAAGCUCCAAUGCAGGAAUCCCUUGCAGGACCGCCAUCGCAGCAAAAUCCUCCCGAGGGCCUCCCUACACUGACCACUCCCCUACUGCCCUUGCCCCUUUCGGGUAAGGUAGUCUUCCACUAGCUUUCCUAAUUAAUCGGCCAAGGGCGUCCCAUUAAACCCUUGUGGUAGCACUGUUUUCCCGGGUGGUUCUCCAUGUUCCAAUUAACAUAAUGAUCUUAUCAUGAACAGUGAUAAUAAACAGAUAAUAAAAGUGUGAUCAUGAAUAAUGUAUCUUCAUACCCAAAACCACAUAAAGCACUAGCAAGUACUACCCAAAAAGUUCAGUGGUAAACAAGGUAUAAAGAUAGACAAACUAGGGUAACCUAUUGGGUCCCAUCAAAAUUAACCUAUGCAGAUCAUUAUGAUUAAUCAGAACAUGAGUAGGUAAAAAGAAGUGAUCAAGGGCACAACUUGCCUGGGAUUUGAGAUUUCAGGUACCAAGAUGAUCUUCAGGUGACACGUGUCCUCACGCUAGUCGUAGCAAUAUAGACAAACAUGAUAUAGACAAGAUUAACACCACACCAAACAUAAGAACAAACUGAAUAAUAAUGACCUACGCGUUUCUACGAGACUAACGCAACUUGAACGGAUCAAAUCGGAGUUAAAACGAAGGAGAUACGAAUUUCCUAAGGUUUUUAUGUAUUUGAUACAAGAUUAAUUAAGAAAUAAAUUUUAAUACCAUUUUCAUGUCAAAACAAAGAUACAGGGUAAUAAACAACAUUAUUAUAGGAUUAUAGGAAUUGAAAUGGAUUAAUUUGGACUUCAAAUGAAUUUUCUAAGAAUUAAAUAAGUUUCUGCAAUUAAUUUUGUAUUGAAAAUCAUUUCUAAAAUGAAUUCAUCUGUCUCUGGUCCACGCACACUAAUAAACGAAAAUCCAGGGGCCUCAGCGCAAGUGCCACCAAGAAACAGAACCCAACUACGUGGACCGCGGGUUGUUUUUAGGUAAACCGAGGGGUUCUUGUGCAAAAUGAACUGGCGAAAGGGGUACGGGGUGAUAUAGGCCGCAGGAUCAUGGAUGAANNNNNNNNNNNNNNNNNNNNNNNNNNNNNNNNNNNNNNNNNNNNNNNNNNNNNNNNNNNNNNNNNNNNNNNNNNNNNNNNNNNNNNNNNNNNNNNNNNNNCUCGGACCCGUCGCCAGGGGACCGGGUCCGACAGAUCACCCGAAGGUACUUUUGGGCGUGCCUCUGGGCCCCUAGCCGACCCCAACGAACGGGGCACGGACGUCCACUCGGAUUACCCGCUUGCAGCUCACCGGAGACACCAUGUUCGGUGCCCAUCGAGGGUAACAUGGCGCUCUCCCCCCCUCCUCCUUGCGGAAAGGCGACGUAGGGGCGUAUGUAAAAAAGCCGAGUCUGUCCCUGAUCGCCCUCUCGCCCUGUGCGGAGGCUCGGGGGUUGCUCUCGCAAACCCGGCUCCGGCCGAACCGUUGACAGCGUCAACAUACCAGCCCGAGAACUUGGGCCCCGACCGUGCACCUGGGCUACGACCAGUUCGCAUGAGGGAACAACCAGACCAGCCGAAGCAUUACGCAAGGCAUUAAGACCUCGAAGGAGUGAAACCACUCCUCCGAGGCCUCGGGGGCUACACCCGGCGGGUGCGCUCGCGUGCACCCACCGGAACAAAAUGCAACCGAGAAAGGCUGGUCCCUUGCAAAAAAGUGCGACGAAAGCCUCCAAGCGAGUGCUAACACUCCCUUCGAGGCUCGGGGGCUACUGUCGGGGACCAUAAUUAGGGGUACCCUCAAGACGCCUAAUUCUCAGCUGGUAACUGAUAGUCGCCUAGAGGGGGGUGAAUAGGGCAAAACUGAAAUUUACAAAUAUAAACACAACUACAAGCUGGGUUACCGUUAGAAAUAAAAACGAGUCCGCGAGAGAGGGUGAAAACAAAUCGCAAGCGAAUAAUGAAGUGAGACACGUGGAUUUGUUUUACCGAGGUUCGGUUCUCUCAAACCUACUCCCCGUUGAGGAGGCCACAAAGGCCGGGUCUCUUUCAACCCUUCCCUCUCUCAAACGGUCCCUCGGACCGAGUGAGCUUCUCUUCUCAAAUCGAAACCGAGAACAAAACUUCCCCGCAAGGGCCACCACACAAUUGGUGCCUCUUGCCUUGAUUACAAUGAAGUUUUGAUCACAAGAACAAGUGAGAAAGAAAAGAAGCAAUCUGUCACACCCGGGUUUUAGGGAUCCAAAGCCCGGGCGCGAACAUAAACACCAGGUGUGCUGGGACCAAGUCUCACACAUAUGAUGCAUAGUGGCACAGGAUCGAAUGUCACAUCUUUACUAUAUAACAGGAGUUCUAUACAAAAUAAUUAAAUAAUUACAUCAUAUGAGGAAACGAUCCAGCAACCCAAAGUUGACUGGGAGACGACGGCCUAGACCACUCACGAACUCAUCACAGUAUCCUCCACGCGCCUCCUCCUGUGGUACCUGCUCUUGACCUGUGGGGGGGUGUGAGACAGCAAGAGUGAGCUCACAUACGUUCAUCGCUCAACAAGUUGUGGGGAAUAAUGUGCAUGAACUCGCCCAAGGUGGGAGCUCACGUGAAGUGUAAGGCUUACCAAAGAGGAUGGUUAGAGCUGAGCAUUGCUUUUAAAGUUGGUCAAAAUUUUAUUAGCAAUUACUAAGUAUAAGUAAAUACCGACCCAAUUAAAUAGUAGAACAGAAGUAACAACCUCACCUGCGAUGCAAUGCAUAUGACAAAUUGAGUUUAAGUUCCAUAGAUUAAUCAUGUGAGUGUCCGAGCCGCUCAUGACCGUGAGCACGGCUAGUAUACCAGUUUUACACUCUGCAGAGGUUGCGCAUCUUUACCCACAAGUCAUGUUACCCAUCUGCCAAGGGAUCGCGACUUCCCAUACACCUCUACCGAGGAGGCGAGGCAGGGUAACACUACGAGGCCUUUACAAAGUUCCACUAGCUUCAGAAAACCCGCUACAGUUUAUAGGAAGCUCCAAUGCAGGAAUCCCUUGCAGGACCGCCAUCGCAGCAAAUCCUCCCGAGGGCCUCCCUACACUGACCACUCCCCUACUGCCCUUGCCCCUUUCGGGUAAGGUAGUCUUCCACUAGCUUUCCUAAUUAAUCGGCCAAGGGCGUCCCAUUAAACCCUUGUGGUAGCACUGUUUUCCCGGGUGGUUCUCCAUGUUCCAAUUAACAUAAUGAUCUUAUCAUGAACAGUGAUAAUAAACAGAUAAUAAAAGUGUGAUCAUGAAUAAUGUAUCUUCAUACCCAAAACCACAUAAAGCACUAGCAAGUACUACCCAAAAAGUUCAGUGGUAAACAAGGUAUAAAGAUAGACAAACUAGGGUAACCUAUUGGGUCCCAUCAAAAUUAACCUAUGCAGAUCAUUAUGAUUAAUCAGAACAUGAGUAGGUAAAAAGAAGUGAUCAAGGGCACAACUUGCCUGGGAUUUGAGAUUUCAGGUACCAAGAUGAUCUUCAGGUGACACGUGUCCUCACGCUAGUCGUAGCAAUAUAGACAAACAUGAUAUAGACAAGAUUAACACCACACCAAACAUAAGAACAAACUGAAUAAUAAUGACCUACGCGUUUCUACGAGACUAACGCAACUUGAACGGAUCAAAUCGGAGUUAAAACGGAGGAGAUACGAAUUUCCUAAGGUUUUUAUGUAUUUGAUACAAGAUUAAUUAAGAAAUAAAUUUUAAUACCAUUUUCAUGUCAAAACAAAGAUACAGGGUAAUAAACAACAUUAUUAUAGGAUUAUAGGAAUUGAAAUGGAUUAAUUUGGACUUCAAAUGAAUUUUCUAAGAAUUAAAUAAGUUUCUGCAAUUAAUUUUGUAUUGAAAAUCAUUUCUAAAAUGAAUUCAUCUGUCUCUGGUCCACGCACACUAAUAAACGAAAAUCCAGGGGCCUCAGCGCAAGUGCCACCAAGAAACAGAACCCAACUACGUGGACCGCGGGUUGUUUUUAGGUAAACCGAGGGGUUCUUGUGCAAAAUGAACUGGCGAAAGGGGUACGGGGUGAUAUAGGCCGCAGGAUCAUGGAUGAACGAUCCUGAUUAGAUCGGCAUCAACUGCGAACCGGUAUCGUAUCCUGGCCGACGGUUCGCCAUCCAACGAUCCACAUUUUAAAUACCAGAGGUCCCCCGCGAUCCAUCCGAUCGCCAACGAACGGACGCGGACGAAACUCUACCAGAUUUAAUGCCCACCGCAGCAAAAGGAUCUGACGGCUAGCACAAGGCUCUUCCCCGGUUCAUCCCCAAUCACGACGGCAAGCCCACCGCGGCGGAGCGCCAUGACCAGGACCGAGCGAGGAGCUUCUCCCAGUGGUCACCAUCGAAUUGAAACAAAGCUACACGUUGCUGAGACUACGACGAGCAGGUAUAGGGCACACUUACCCGCAGCUAGGAAGUCGAGAUACCCCGACCUCGGGCGGGGCGGAUCUAUGUCGGCACACGAACGAUGGUGAGAAAUUCCUCGACAACCAGCCGGUCUUUGCUCCCAGCGCCGCAUCGAGCACGUCCCUGAGCACCUGGCGAAGCCCAUAGAUCUAUCUUCAUGCUCCGAACGGCCAUAGGUCCUUGAAUCGAUGGCGACGGCGCGUUCGGCAUCCCGUUUUCUCCCUCUCCUCUUGAUUCUUCUCUGCGCACCAUUGUUUGGGGAUGAACGGCCCCAAAUUUAUACCCAGGCGGCGCCCAAGUCCGAGCCGGGGCGAGCAGCGAGGAUCGCGCCCGGGAGCACAUCCAUCCGGUGGAUCCAGUCAACGCGGGCGAGCUCCGCGCCUUCGGUUGCGGAACAGACCAGAGGAUAGGGACGCCCCAGACGCGCGGGGUCCACAGGCAGCGAGUGUGCUUGCGCAAACGACAGGAGUGGCCAGAGGCUGACAAGCAGGACCCGUGUGUAAGUGUCACCGGUAAAAAGGAAAAGGAGGUAGCGUGGGCCGAACAGGGGGAAAGGAUCUGUGGGUGGUGGGCUGGCGCGUGGAGAAAGUGGGCCGGCCAGGAAAAAUGGCCCAAGCGCAGGCUUCCAUUAAUCUUUUACUUUUCCUUUUUCUGAUUUAUAUUUUUCCCAUCUCAUUUGAAUUCAAAUUUCACACUUAAAUCUUUUGGUGAAUUCUUCUUAGAUUGAAAGUAUAAUUUGAACAUAAUGGUCUUACUUUUAUUUAUAUUAUUUGUCUUGCAUAUAUUUUAUUUUAUUUUUUGUACUCCUUUUCCUCCCCCCACAUUUCUUCAGGGUUUUAAAUUCCACUUUGGAUUUAACAUAUUCAUUUUUAUAAUAUUUUUACAUUGUCACAAGUAAUGCACACACAAUAAAAUCGAGCAUGAUGCAUAAUUUGGUAGUAUAUGUAUUUUUUUAUUAAUUGUUUUUGGGCAUGAUGUUCACAUAAGAUGAUGCAUAAAGAUCAAACUCACAUGAAGAGAAAUUGUUUCCCUAUUGGUAUUAUUUCUAGCAAAUUACAAAGUGGGUGUUACAAAUCCUACCCCCCUUAAUAGAAAUCUCGUCCUCGAGAUUUGUAAGAAAAGGGAUACGAUAAGUUUGUAAUUCAACUUUUAGUCUUUAAUUGUUUCAAAAGUCCAUAGUCUCAUUUGUUUUAUAUACUCAAUAGUGGGUGAUGAGGAGGGCAUAGGUAUCCAGCUACUUAUUAGGUAGGAUAUAAGAGAUGUAUAGUUUAGGGCAAGAAUAGCCAGGGGUAAGAAAGUUUAUGGUAAGGAAGAACUUCGUGUUGGAUGGUAAUGCAUCCGAAGAUUGAAAUUGACUUCUCUCCUUCCUUGACGCGGUUGAUCUUGUCCUUUUCUGGUCUUGGUCUCAUUGAGUGUAUAUCAUCGUAGUUGUGGAAUAUGGUUAAGAUAGAUAUGGAUGAGAUAGAAUAUAUGAUGUAGGUCAAAAGUUUGUUUGAAGUUAGGUGGGGAUAGAAAGGUUAUGCAAUCCAUCAUGACUCUAUUGGUUGGGUUAGCUCUUAUGCUCAUGGUUGAGUUGGUCUAAUAUGUGAAGUUAGGUUAAUACCUGGAUAGUAGGGUCUAAUCUCUUCUAUCAGUAUUAUUAAUUUGUUUAAGUAGACCACAUUAGAUUAGAUCGUACUAGAUUAGAUAGGAUCUAGAUUAGAUCGGAUAUGAGUAGAUAGUAUUAAUUACUUUGGAUUAGAUCAUGGUCGUUACACUAGUGUGGAAUAAUUAUGCUUACUAGGGCAAGAUGAAUCCAUAAGGAUAGGGUAGAAUCCUUUGAGGUCAGUUAGAUCUACUAAGGCGACAUAAGAUCUUUUCAAGAUAAGAUGAGUAUCUUUUUUUUGAUAAGAUGGAUCUAUGAGUGUAGGAUAGAAUCUUUCAAAAUGAGAUGGAUAUUGUUAGGCUAGAUACUUUAAUGAGGGAUAAUUUAGUUUAUCUAGUUAAUUU